CGAAUUAAAAACAGUGCAGAAGGAUGUUUUGAGUAUGUUUUAGCUUCUAGCCGCGCAAUCAAUGCUUUUUUUCCAAGCAAGAUGUACUUCUGUUUGGAUCCUAUCGGCGGGGAAAAAAGUACUUACGGCGACGGUGACAAGAAAUAGCGCUGAUUGCGAGAUUACCAGAUCCAGAAGAUCCGGAAGGGCUGUUACAAGUAAUUGGUUUUGCUAGAGCAAAAGGAGGUUGACAAUGAUUGCAACAGGUGAAAUAAACUGUUGGAAUCACGACUAUCGAUCACGCCAGAAGAUCCGGAAAGAGUUGUUGAAAGUAAUUGGCCACAGAAAAGUAUCCAUUUAUGAAGUCUAUCUCCAUCUCGGGGGAAAGUGUGGUAAACAAUGUCCGGGUUGUUUUUCGUUAUGCGGACCUUGUUUCCGCAUCCUUUUACUGCACAAUAAUACGGCAUCUGAAGAAAAUAAGAUAUUCACAAUAUAAUUUUGGCAUGAUAGAGAACCGCGAGAUGAACGAUUAUCUGUGGAGGAGUUGGACAACAGAUUUCUUAGACUUAUAGCACUUUAAUCACACUCACAAGCUCUUCAAAUCCUCACUGUCCCCCAAAACUAUUGAAUAAUAUUUGUUUUCCUCAGCGAGUUGAUAUGAAACCAUAACGACACAACCAAACAAAAAGUAAACAAUGCAGAAAGCUACGUCUCGCAACUCGUCUCACGUAUUGUCAUGAAAGUGUCAAGAACGAAACACCU
Long non-coding RNA from Toxorhynchites rutilus septentrionalis, 741 nucleotides. RefSeq lists it as uncharacterized. The transcript has 3 exons. The record is from RefSeq and is a predicted model, not a curated record. Lineage: Eukaryota; Metazoa; Arthropoda; Insecta; Diptera; Culicidae.